ACGAUAUUUUUCAUAACAAUUUUAACCAUUUUGAAAGUUUGAUAGCCAAAUCCAAAAAAAUGGUUAAAAUUUCUAAAUGUUUGAAUGAGCUUGUAUUUUACCGCCAUUUUGAAGAUUGUGAUUUGAGAAGCGCUCUCGUUUUCACCAUUUUUGCACGUUAAAAUUCGAUUUGUUUGGCCUCGAGAUUAGAAUUAAAGUGAAAAAGAUAAAGCGGCCAAUCGGGAAACCCGUCUGCUGUUGAAAGCUGGUAUCUAUUACGAUUGGCAGGCUACAAUCAAUACAGGAGAUGAAACCCCGAUCGACGCGUCUGUACCAGGGAUUAAGUCCACUGAUUGGGGCUACAAGCAAACAUCAAUGGUCAUAUUAUUGUCCGCGGUUUUUUUUACCACCAGACGAAGAGUGUUGUCAAUAAGCUGUCGAAAAUCCUGAGCCGGACUGUCCGAACUUUUCAUAACUUCCGUAGUGGCCAACUGUUUCCCCAUUGUUUGGAUGAACGAUUUUUUGAAGAACGCCAAAGGAAGCGAUAUGGCCCCCUUCCUAAUGAAAAUUAAGUAGUUCCGGUGGUCCGAGGAAGUUUUAUCCGACUCUUAAUGGAACUAUAACAAGGUGGAUUUUUCUGAAAGGAUUUAAGGAUCACAAUGCAGGGUAAUUGAAUUUGCAAUUUUUCUUAUAUUUCGGGCUUAAUUUGCAGCAAAUGAAGGCACCAGCAGCAGCACCAGACUGAGGCUAAACAGGUCGACAAGCUAAUUAUGCUAAUGUGACAUCAGAAUGAUCUCUGUCCAUCAGAAUUCGAUUCAGGAUUCCAACCCAGAAAACUUUUUUUCUGGGAAAGAAGUUGUUGUCUUGAGGAUCAGUUCAUCUGCGUGAUGGACAUAUCCCAAUUCAACCAAAUUAUGAAUAUCCAUCCAGAUAGUAAUGACAUCAGAUUUAGGUCAUUGGCUAAACCAUUAAUUUUUGCAAACUUUCGAGGAUGGCUCAGGUGCAGUUCGGAACAGUUGUUUAAAAUUUUAAAAGGCUAUGGAACGGAAAAUGCAAGAAUGCUAGGUACUCGUAAUUUAACCGAUUGCGAAGGGCACGGGGAAAACAUUAAGCUUGAAACAAUUAAGGUGUAUUGAGCAAUUGAGCCUUAAAUUCGGGUAUAUCAAGCUAAGUUUCUAAAAGUACUUCUCAUCCUUCUGUGAAAAGAGCAUUGCAAAAUUAGACCGAUCCAGACGAAAGACAAAAUGAUUCCUGGUAUCAAUCAAGGCAAACAUAAUUAUUGCUAGUAUUUAAAUAAAUAAAUUAAAUAAA
Molecule: long non-coding RNA, 1290 nt
Organism: Uranotaenia lowii
Lineage: Eukaryota; Metazoa; Arthropoda; Insecta; Diptera; Culicidae
Exons: 4
Source: RefSeq, a predicted model, not a curated record